GACGAACGCUGGCGGCGUGCUUAACACAUGCAAGUCGAACGGAAAGGCCCUGCUUGUGUGGGGUGCUCGAGUGGCGAACGGGUGAGUAACACGUGAGUAACCUGCUCUUGACUUUGGGAUAACUUCAGGAAACUGGGGCUAAUACCGGAUAGGAGCUCCUGCUGGAUGGUGGGGGGUGGAAAGUUUCGGCUGUUGGGGAUGGACUCGCGGCUGAUCAGCUUGUUGGUGGGGUAGUGGCUUACCAAGGCUUUGACGGGUAGCCGGCCUGAGAGGGUGACCGGCCACAUUGGGACUGAGGUAGGGCCCAGACUCCAACGGGGGGCAGCAGUGGGGAAUAUUGCCCAAUGGGCGGAAGCCUGAUGCAGCGACGCCGCGUGCGGGAUGACGUCCUUCGGGUUGUAAACAGCUUUCGCCUGUUACGAAGCGUGAGUGACGGUAAUGGGUGAAGAAGCACCGGCUAACUACGUG
RNAcentral lists this ribosomal RNA (468 nucleotides) under uncultured bacterium. Its description in RNAcentral is "partial 16S ribosomal RNA". It matches the Rfam family "Bacterial small subunit ribosomal RNA", at positions 28 to 507 of the family's 1533-position model. The record is from RNAcentral.